RNAcentral lists this ribosomal RNA (404 nucleotides) under Brucella melitensis. Its description in RNAcentral is "partial 16S ribosomal RNA". It matches the Rfam family "Bacterial small subunit ribosomal RNA", at positions 355 to 776 of the family's 1533-position model. The record is from RNAcentral. RNAcentral also lists the same sequence under 1 other name. Lineage: Bacteria; Pseudomonadati; Pseudomonadota; Alphaproteobacteria; Hyphomicrobiales; Brucellaceae.
UGGGGAAUAUUGGACAAUGGGCGCAAGCCUGAUCCAGCCAUGCCGCGUGAGUGAUGAAGGCCCUAGGGUUGUAAAGCUCUUUCACCGGUGAAGAUAAUGACGGUAACCGGAGAAGAAGCCCCGGCUAACUUCGUGCCAGCAGCCGCGGUAAUACGAAGGGGGCUAGCGUUGUUCGGAUUUACUGGGCGUAAAGCGCACGUAGGCGGACUUUUAAGUCAGGGGUGAAAUCCCGGGGCUCAACCCCGGAACUGCCUUUGAUACUGGAAGUCUUGAGUAUGGUAGAUGUGAGUGGAAUUCCGAGUGUAGAGGUGAAAUUCGUAGAUAUUCGGAGGAACACCAGUGGCGAAGGCGGCUCACUGGACCAUUACUGACGCUGAGGUGCGAAAGCGUGGGGAGCAAACAGG